This 371-nucleotide ribosomal RNA is filed under the name uncultured bacterium. RNAcentral describes it as "bacterial SSU rRNA". It matches the Rfam family "Bacterial small subunit ribosomal RNA", at positions 28 to 402 of the family's 1533-position model. The record is from RNAcentral.
GACGAACGCUGGCGGCGUGCUUAACACAUGCAAGUCGAGCGGUAAGGCCCUUUCGGGGGUACACGAGCGGCGAACGGGUGAGUAACACGUGGGUGACCUGCCCUCAGCUCUGGGAUAAGCCCGGGAAACUGGGUCUAAUACCGGAUAUGACUUCAUGACGCAUGUUGUGGAGUGGAAAGCCUUGUGCGGCUGAGGAUGGGCCCGCGGCCUAUCAGCUUGUUGGUGGGGGAUGGCCUACCAAGGCGACGACGGGUAGCCGGCCUGAGAGGGCGACCGGCCACACUGGGACUGAGAUACGGCCCAGACUCCUACGGGAGGCAGCAGUGGGAAUAUUGCGCAAUGGGCGGAAGCCUGACGCAGCGACGCCGCGU